UACGAAGGGGGGCUAGCGUUGCUCGGAAUCACUGGGCGUAAAGCGCACGUAGGCGGCUUUUUAAGUCAGGGGUGAAAUCCUGGAGCUCAACUCCAGAACUGCCUUUGAUACUGAGAGCUUGAGUCCGGGAGAGGUGAGUGGAACUGCGAGUGUAGAGGUGAAAUUCGUAGAUAUUCGCAAGAACACCAGUGGCGAAGGCGGCUCACUGGCCCGGUACUGACGCUGAGGUGCGAAAGCGUGGGGGACAAACAGG
This 253-nucleotide ribosomal RNA is filed under the name uncultured bacterium. RNAcentral describes it as "partial 16S ribosomal RNA". It matches the Rfam family "Bacterial small subunit ribosomal RNA", at positions 524 to 776 of the family's 1533-position model. The record is from RNAcentral.